Molecule: small nuclear RNA, 140 nt
Filed under: Pongo abelii (Sumatran orangutan)
Lineage: Eukaryota; Metazoa; Chordata; Mammalia; Primates; Hominidae
Description: U4 spliceosomal RNA (ENSPPYG00000037664.1)
Rfam family: U4 spliceosomal RNA
About the family: U4 small nuclear RNA (U4 snRNA) is a component of the major U2-dependent spliceosome. The structure of U4 snRNA from yeast and human has been reported. U4 snRNA presents a k-turn RNA motif in the 5p-SL related to recognition of Snu13 protein.
Source: Rfam by way of RNAcentral
AGCUUUCUGCAGUGGCAGUACCAUAGCCAAUGAGGUUUGCCUGAGGCAUGAUUAUUGCUAAUUGAAAAUUUUCCCUAUAGCUUGCCAUGACAACUUGAAAUAUUGUUGGCAUUGAGAAUUUCUGAGACUCUCUACAGAGG